Molecule: regulatory RNA element, 100 nt
Organism: Planktotalea frisia
Lineage: Bacteria; Pseudomonadati; Pseudomonadota; Alphaproteobacteria; Rhodobacterales; Paracoccaceae
Rfam family: Pyrrolysine insertion sequence mttB
Source: Rfam
GCGACCGAUUCAAAAAUGCCGGACAUGCAGGCGGGAUGGGAGCAGAUGUGUUCCAACGUGAUGGGCGGUCUUGCGGGUCUCAACAUGGUUUACGAGGCGG